GAUGAACGCUGGCGGCGUGCCUAAUACAUGCAAGUCGAGCGAACAGACGAGGAGCUUGCUCCUUUGACGUUAGCGGCGGACGGGUGAGUAACACGUAGGUAACCUACCUAUAAGACUGGGAUAACUUCGGGAAACCGGAGCUCAUACCGGAUAAUAUUUCGAACCGCAUGGUUCGAUAGUGAACGAUGGCUUUGCUAUCACUUAUAGAUGGACCUGCGCCGGAUUAGCUAGUUGGUAAGGUAACGGCUUACCAAGGCAACGAUACGUAGCCGACCUGAGAGGGUGAUCGGCCACACUGGAACUGAGACACGGUCCAGACUCCUACGGGAGGCAGCAGUAGGGAAUCUUCCGCAAUGGGCGAAAGCCUGACGGAGCAACGCCGCGUGAGUGAUGAAGGUCUUCGGAUCGUAAAACUCUGUUAUUAGGGAAGAACAAACGUGUAAGUAACUGUGCACGUCUUGACGGUACCUAAUCAGAAAGCCACGGCUAACUACGUG
Molecule: ribosomal RNA, 497 nt
Filed under: uncultured bacterium
Lineage: Bacteria
Description: partial 16S ribosomal RNA
Rfam family: Bacterial small subunit ribosomal RNA
Source: RNAcentral